This 511-nucleotide ribosomal RNA is filed under the name uncultured archaeon. RNAcentral's name for it is "bacterial SSU rRNA". It matches the Rfam family "Archaeal small subunit ribosomal RNA", at positions 346 to 859 of the family's 1478-position model. The record is from RNAcentral.
AACUCUGCAAUAAGCGAAAGCUUGACAGGGUUAUUCUGAGUGAUUUCCGCUAAGGAGAUCUUUUGGCACCUCUAAAAAUGGUGCAGAAUAAGGGGUGGGCAAGCCUGGUGUCAGCCGCCGCGGUAAUACCAGCACCCCGAGUGGUCGGGACGAUUAUUGGGCCUAAAGCAUCCGUAGCCGGUUCUACAAGUCUUCCGUUAAAUCCACCUGCUUAACAGUUGGGCUGCAGAGGAUACUAUAGAGCUAGGAGGCGGGAGAGGCAAGCGGUACUUAGUGGGUAGGGGUAAAAUCCGUUGAUCCACUGAAGACCACCAGUGGCGAAGGCGGCUUGCCAGAACGCGCUCGACGGUGAGGGAUGAAAGCUGGGGGAGCAAACCGGAUUAGAUACCCGGGUAGUCCCAGCUGUAAACGAUGCAGACUCGGUGAUGAACAGGCUUCGUGCCUAUUCAGUGCCGCAGGGAAGCCGUUAAGUCUGCCGCCUGGGGAGUACGGUCGCAAGACUGAAACUUAA